CCUACGGGUGGCUGCAGUGGGGAAUAUUGCACAAUGGGGGAAACCCUGAUGCAGCGACGCCGCGUGAGCGAUUAAGUAUUUCGGUAUGUAAAGCUCUAUCAGCAGGGAAGAAAAUGACGGUACCUGACUAAGAAGCCCCGGCUCACUACGUGCCAGCAGCCGCGGUCAUACGUAUGGUGCAAGCGUUAUCCGGAUUUACUGGGGGUAACGGGAGCGCAGUCGGCACUGCAAGCCUGAUGGGAAAGCCCGCGGACCAACCGCGGGACGGCAUUGGUAACUGCCGGGCUGGAGUGGCGGAGAGGUAGGCGGAAUGCCUAGUGUAGCGGUGAAAUGCGUAGAUAUUAGGAGGAACACCAGUGGCGAAGGCGGCCUACUGGACGGUGACUGACGCUGAGGCUCGAAAGCGUGGGGAGCAAACAGGAUUAGAUACCCCUGUAGUC
Molecule: ribosomal RNA, 440 nt
Filed under: uncultured bacterium
Lineage: Bacteria
Description: partial 16S ribosomal RNA
Rfam family: Bacterial small subunit ribosomal RNA
Source: RNAcentral